GGGGGUAAUAGCUCAGUGUGUGGUAGAGCAUUCGACUGCAGAUCGAGAGGUCCCUGGAUCAAACCUGGAUGCUCCCU
Molecule: non-coding RNA, 77 nt
Organism: Trichonephila inaurata madagascariensis
Lineage: Eukaryota; Metazoa; Arthropoda; Arachnida; Araneae; Nephilidae
Source: the annotation of a GenBank genome assembly